GACAAACGCUGGCGGCGUGCUUAACACAUGCAAGUCGAGCGGUAAGGCCCUUUCGGGGGUACACGAGCGGCGAACGGGUGAGUAACACGUGGGUGACCUGCCCUCAGCUCUGGGAUAAGCCCGGGAAACUGGGUCUAAUACCGGAUAUGACUCCAUGACGCAUGUUGUGGGGUGGAAAGCCUUGUGCGGCUGAGGAUGGGCCCGCGGCCUAUCAGCUUGUUGGUGGGGUGAUGGCCACCAAGGCGACGACGGGUAGCCGGCCUGAGAGGGCGACCGGCCACACUGGGACUGAGAUACGGCCCAGACUCCUACGGGAGGCAGCAGUGGGGAAUCUUGCGCAAUGGGCGAAAGCCUGACGCAGCGACGCCGCGUGAGGGAUGACGGCCU
This 387-nucleotide ribosomal RNA is filed under the name uncultured bacterium. Its description in RNAcentral is "bacterial SSU rRNA". It matches the Rfam family "Bacterial small subunit ribosomal RNA", at positions 28 to 417 of the family's 1533-position model. The record is from RNAcentral.